AACGUAGGUACCGAGCGUUAUCCGGAUUUACUGGGCGUAAAGCGCGUUCAGGCGGCUUGACAAGUCGGGCAUGAAAUCUCUCGGCUCAACCGGGAGGGGCUGUCCGAUACUGUCGGGCUUGAGGGCAGUAGAGGGUGGUGGAAUUCCGGGUGUAGUGGUGAAAUGCGUAGAUAUCCGGAGGAACACCAGUGGCGAAGGCGAGUCUCUGGGCUGUUACUGACGCUGAGGCGCGAAAGCCAGGGGAGCAAACGGG
RNAcentral lists this ribosomal RNA (253 nucleotides) under uncultured bacterium. RNAcentral describes it as "partial 16S ribosomal RNA". It matches the Rfam family "Bacterial small subunit ribosomal RNA", at positions 524 to 776 of the family's 1533-position model. The record is from RNAcentral.